UACGUAGGGUGCGAGCGUUAAUCGGAAUUACUGGGCGUAAAGCGUGCGUAGGCGGUCCGUCGUGUCCGAUGUGAAAGCCCCGGGCUUAACCUGGGAAUGGCAUGGGAAACUGACGGGCUCGAGUGAGGCAGAGGGGGGUGGAAUUCCGCGUGUAGCAGUGAAAUGCGUAGAGAUGCGGAGGAACACCGAUGGCGAAGGCAGCCCCCUGGGCCCACACUGACGCUGAGUGCACGAAAGCGUGGGGAGCAAACAGG
RNAcentral lists this ribosomal RNA (254 nucleotides) under uncultured bacterium. Its description in RNAcentral is "partial 16S ribosomal RNA". It matches the Rfam family "Bacterial small subunit ribosomal RNA", at positions 524 to 776 of the family's 1533-position model. The record is from RNAcentral.